AGUGAACGCUGGCGGUAGGCCUAACACAUGCAAGUCGAACGGCAGCACAGUAAGAGCUUGCUCUUACGGGUGGCGAGUGGCGGACGGGUGAGGAAUACAUCGGAAUCUACUUUUUCGUGGGGGAUAGCGUAGGGAAACUUACGCUAAUACCGCAUACGACCUACGGGUGAAAGCAGGGGAUCUUCGGACCUUGCGCGAUUGAAUGAGCCGAUGUCGGAUUAGCUAGUUGGCGGGGUAAAGGCCCACCAAGGCGACGAUCCGUAGCUGGUCUGAGAGGAUGAUCAGCCACACUGGAACUGAGACACGGUCCAGACUCCUACGGGAGGCAGCAGUGGGGAAUAUUGGACAAUGGGCGCAAGCCUGAUCCAGCCAUACUGCGUGGGUGAAGAAGGCCUUCGGGUUGUAAAGCCCUUUUGUUGGGAAAGAAAAGCAGCAGGUUAAUACCCCGCUGUUCUGACGGUACCCAAAGAAUAAGCACCGGCUAACUUCGUG
This 492-nucleotide ribosomal RNA is filed under the name uncultured bacterium. RNAcentral describes it as "partial 16S ribosomal RNA". It matches the Rfam family "Bacterial small subunit ribosomal RNA", at positions 29 to 507 of the family's 1533-position model. The record is from RNAcentral.